Molecule: non-coding RNA, 46 nt
Filed under: Schistosoma haematobium
Lineage: Eukaryota; Metazoa; Platyhelminthes; Trematoda; Strigeidida; Schistosomatidae
Source: RNAcentral
GCACUGCUGAGGAGUCCCAAAAUAGGACGACAUGGCCGUCCAGUGC